Long non-coding RNA from Balaenoptera acutorostrata (minke whale), 3581 nucleotides. RefSeq lists it as uncharacterized. The transcript is spliced from 3 exons. Lineage: Eukaryota; Metazoa; Chordata; Mammalia; Artiodactyla; Balaenopteridae. The record is from RefSeq and is a predicted model, not a curated record.
CAACGGCCCUCCCUCUACUGACCCAGUAAACUCCCUGUCGGAGUCAGUGACACAGCCCUGACUUCCUCCCACCUCAGCAGGAAGGGCCAGCUUGGUGUCCUGUAGACGGGAAUGUGGAGCGUUGUUCGCAUACGCAGUUUUCAGCAAAGGAAUGUCUCAGAAUCUCCCCGGUUCCAGCAUUCAAACCACAGACCAGAAAGAAGGCUGUAUGUGGUGAGAAACACAACCGGGGAGGUGCGCCAUGUCCGGGUCACCAGGUGCCUUGUUCAAGCCCAUCGAAUGGCCCACGCAGCAAAGCGACAUAGUCAUAUUUAUGAGGAAAAUUGUGGCUCAGCAUGUUUAAGCAACUCUCUCAAGAUCACACAGCAUGUAAGGGCUGGAACCAAUACUUGCGCCCCAGGUUUCUCUGCCUCGAAAGGACAAGCAUGCCGGCCACAGCCUCUGGUGUGGCAUAAAGGAAAAGAUACUUUUCCCAUGGGGGGUCAACUUGGCAUUUCUGAAGCAGCACCCUUCCACGCUGAACAGAACAACAAAGAGAAUUAAUAGGCACCAUUAAGUUCAUGGAAUGCUGGGACCUCCCUCCUGGGAGGCCCACAAGCAUCCAUGAAUAGAUCUGAAAGAGAAAUGUUUUAUAAUUUGUGAAGAAUUUAUUUAAGAUUUAGUAUACCCACCUACUACUUCUUAGUUCUACUGAUUUAGAUGACGACAAGUGAUUUAGCCAAAAAAAUAAGUUAUUGAUGAUUGAUUUAUGAAUAUUUAGAAACAGCAACAUUGAUUUGGAGCCAGUGCUGGGAGCUAUGUUCACCAAGAUCAAAUCAUGUCAGGCUCAUGCCAUGUUUACCUUAUGUCUAUGCAAUCCUCCUGAAAUAGAUUAGGGGGAUGCCAGAGAGAUACUCAGUCCUGAUUUCAUCAAGCUUCCUAGGAAAACACUUUAUGAUAUCAUUGUUGAAUCAGUGUGAGAAUGGUAAAUUGAAUACUAGUUCAACUGAACAGAGGUGUUAGCGACUUAAACAAUAUCAUCCUAAAAGGAUCAGUGUUGACUUGGGUGUAUCUAGUGAUGCACUAUAGGACAUCAGACUUAGACUUGUCUUUUUCAAUAUAUUUUUGAUGACUUGGAGAAUGUGAUCUAUCUUCUGAUCUUCAGCUUCAUCAUGGACACUUCAUCUGGAAAUCUUCAUGUGGAUGUCCAAAGCAACUCAACCUAAAAUGUCCAAAACUGACCUCAUUCUCCUCUCUCUCAGACUUGCCUCUCUCUAUUUCUUCCCAGCUCAAUUAAUGGACUGCGAUAUUAGUCAAGACUCUUAGCUGCAAGUGUCUGAACUCAACUUGAACUAGCUUAGUCAACAAAGGGGAAGUAUUGUCUCAGGAAAUCUAAGGAGUGUUGUAUAAUCAAACUGUAGGAGAAACAGGGAUGCAAAUGGGCCCCAAGAAGAACUGGAACCAGGGUCUCGAACAUUAUCAGGACUUUGCUCUCUGCUUCUCCUUGCCUGUUAGUUUCAUUUUCUUUUGCUUCAGACUGACUGCUGUACAUGGUGGAAAACAUGGCUGCCGGCUCCAUCAUCUUUUAUCUUGCAACUUUGUCUUAGGUCAAGCUGCUAUAAUAAAAAUACCAUAGACUGGGUGACUUAAAUAACAAACAAUGAAAAAUAUUUCACAGUUCUGGAAGUUGGGAAGUCUACAGUCAAGGCUCUGGAAGAUCUUGUGUCUGGUGAGCAUGCACGUCCUGGCUUGUAGAUGGCUGCCUUCUCACCGUAUCUUCACAUGGCAGAGAGAGAGCAUCAUUCUCAUGUCAUUUCUGAUAAGGGUAUGAAUCCCAUUCAUGAUCCUCACCCCCAAACACCAUCGCACUGGGGAUUAGGUUUCAACGUGUGAAUUUGGGGGGGGGGGGUCACAAAAUUCAGUCCUUAGCAAAUUUCUAUCCAUAAAAAGGGACUGACUGAAGCUUGCUUUGGUUCCAAGUUCAACAUCUGGACAAGAACUCUGAUUGGCUUGGCUUGAGUCAGUUGCCCUCCUCUGCAUCCAUUACCUGCUUCCAGGGGUUGAGGUUCCAUGAUCGUCACAGGUGAGGUGUCUUUCUGGACCAAUCGGUUAAGUCCACGGGGGCAAAAUUACGGGAAAAACAAUGGCAUCUCCCUUGAAGUAAAUUGUUAAGCAGUUUUCUGAAGAAAAAGUGUAUAUUUUUUCAGUAAAAAACACAGAAUGCUAGGUAAACAAAGCCAUAGGUGUCCACUGUGAUCAUCCACCCACUCACAUCAGUGAGAGACCCGUCCUAGAGUCUCUCCAGAACUCCCUCAGUCAGAAAAUCCCCAAAUGUAUCAAAUUGGCCCCCUCCCAUUUUUUCCAAAUACAUUCUACUUUUUAAAUACAGAUCCUCCCCAUUUCUUGCCUGAAAAAUUAGUGGUAGUUUUACCUGGUGGCACUGACUUCUGUCUUCACCAUCCCUCAUGUAACCAUCGGAAUGAACUUUCUAAAACACAAAUCUGAUCAUACUUGCAAGAUUCUCCAUCAUUCAGAGAAUAAAGUUCCAAAUCUAACAUAUAAGACAAGGUCCCUCCUAACGAAGCUUGAGGUCACUUCUCCAGGCUCAUCUUCACUGAUUCCUAAUUUAUUCAUAUUCCAGUGUUUCAACUUGCUUCUUUUGGAAAUGCACCCAGAUGGCUCACCCAGCAAAUACAAGGAACAUUUGCUUAACUGCAGAGCUUUAGAAGUUAGCAAGAUAAUUCUGAAGACCUCCAUCUUCAGCUGUUGAUAGGGACCUGAUUUUACACAGAACCUUAGAGAGAAAUAGAUGGAGAGACACACUAGUUUACCCUUCCUUUCUUUUUACAGUUGAGAUACUGAGUCCAAGGAGAAUAAAGCCACUUUAUCUAUGUGCUGAUGAGCAGGAGCCCAGUCUUCUGACCCCCAUUCCAAUGCCCCCAAUCCAGUAAGAAGUGACAACAGUUCUUAUGUUUAUAAGAGGAGUCAACAAGGGAGGAAGGGAAUACAGCUACAGGGAGAAAAGAUCCAGAAAAGGAGGAGGACGUGCCUUCAUUUUCCAGAAUCAUCCUUCACCCCAAAAUGUAAGAAUAAACAAGAAAAGCUUAAGAAGGAUGGGGAGAAGAGGGGCCUGGCAUUCACACAGGAAGUGGAGGCAUAAAGAAGAAGAAAGGAGCAAUGGCUAGUUUAAGAAAUCAUCUCCUCUGAAUGGGGUGGGUCCAGGGCCAGGAAUAAAGGGCCCAGAUGGUUUUAAUGACCAGACUUUGCCUCUCACCUUUCCUCUGGCUGCAGCAGGAACUGUCAGAAGGGAAGGGCCUUAUCUCAUCAGUGAUCUGCCUCCCAGGUUCCCACUGGUGCCUCAGACAUUCUUCACUGAGCCUGGGUCCCGAAGCCUUACACUAGGAAGCCUGCUCACCCAUUCCCAGAGCUGCCCAGUGUUCAGAAAUGUGGUAGGAUUUAUAAGAUGAAUAAUUCUCAGCCUUGGAAGUCUCUUUUGGUCCUUUCCAUCAUUUACUUAAAAAUGUAAACCAUAUUGGAAUAUGAUUUCUGGAUUGUCUGGAUAAAGAAAGAAUUGUUAACAUUUGUGAGAAAUAAAAAAAUAC